UUUGAUCUUUUCCAAAGCUAGAUGAUUUUGAUGAUAUUAUUAAAAAACUUGUGCUCCAUAUGAGGUUCCAAGCGCUAUUAAAGACAUGAUAUUCAUAAGUUGCCAAACACACACACGUAUCUAUGUGUAUAUGUCUUCCAUAUGUUCCUAGAAAUGAGCCUGAUCGUAUGGUCUGUUUGUAUCUGUGAUAAGUAAUGUAUAUCCUGGUGUGUGCAUAUUUCAAAUCUGGAACUGAGCCAGAACUCUGUGCUGAGCCUUAGGACACCGAAUCUGUUGAUUUUCAUGUCCGCAAAUUCAUCUGCUCCAAUGAGUGAUAUUUUUAUGUAGAUGAUAGAAAAAUUAAAAUGCUUUUGCCUCUUAUGAUUCAGAGAAGCCAAAAAAUGAAUCUGCUUCAGAUACGCUUGCUGAUGCUGUGGAUGACAAAAAGUUAAGUCAAAGUUUAUCAGAACAUUGCAGAUAACGUUAUCCCCCGAAUGUUUGUAAUUGUGUCCUCUACAUUGGAGAAACUUUCGCAAGAUAAAUUUUGGCCACAGGAGCUGUUUGUUUAAUUCUUUGCUGCACCAAUGUGGAAUUAGAGGUUACUGUGGCAAGGAGGAUAAAUAUCAUUUUGUUUGUUCACUCAUCUUGUGGGAAGUGAAAACUACACUAAUAUUUUCGUAUACCAUGGUAGCCACAGUUGCACUGUGUUUUUUCCUUUGUUUUAGGUUCAACAGAGUCGGUGGGCGUGGUAUUGUGAUAGCUUUUGUGGUUAUGAUUUGAAAAAAAUUAUUUUAUAAAAAAUAUUUUUGAUUGAGGUUGGUUUGAC
RNAcentral lists this long non-coding RNA (805 nucleotides) under Populus tremula. RNAcentral's name for it is "long non-coding RNA (PTRE_LNC003040)". Lineage: Eukaryota; Viridiplantae; Streptophyta; Magnoliopsida; Malpighiales; Salicaceae. The record is from RNAcentral.